CCUACGGGCGGCAGCAGUGGGGAAUAUUGCACAAUGGGGGAAACCCUGAUGCAGCGACGCCGCGUGAGUGAGGAAGUAUUUCGGUAUGUAAAGCUCUAUCAGCAGGGAAGAAAAUGACGGUACCUGACUAAGAAGCCCCGGCUAACUACGUGCCAGCAGCCGCGGUAAUACGUAGGGGGCAAGCGUUAUCCGGAUUUACUGGGUGUAAAGGGAGCGUAGACGGUUAAUCAAGUCAGAAGUGAAAACCCAGGGCUCAACCUUGGGACUGCUUUUGAAACUGAGUAGCUAGAGGGCAGGAGAGGUAAGCGGAAUUCCUAGUGUAGCGGUGAACUGCGUAGAUAUUAGGAGGAACACCAGUGGCGAAGGCGGCUUACUGGACUGUAACUGACGUUGAGGCUCGAAAGCGUGGGGAGCAAACAGGAUUAGAUACCCUGGUAGUC
RNAcentral lists this ribosomal RNA (440 nucleotides) under uncultured bacterium. Its description in RNAcentral is "partial 16S ribosomal RNA". It matches the Rfam family "Bacterial small subunit ribosomal RNA", at positions 338 to 795 of the family's 1533-position model. The record is from RNAcentral.